UAAUAGACCUGGAUAGGGUUAAUAAGCGAUCAAUAAGACUCAUAGUCUAGGUUCGUAACCUCCGUAGCACUUCGGCAGAUGAUGCCUAAAGUCGGCUCGAGUGGUCGUCAAUCGUAUAUCAUACUUUGCUGCUGCGAGGGCCCGUA
RNAcentral lists this small nuclear RNA (146 nucleotides) under Solanum pimpinellifolium. RNAcentral's name for it is "U1 spliceosomal RNA". It matches the Rfam family "U1 spliceosomal RNA". From Rfam's summary of the family: U1 is a small nuclear RNA (snRNA) component of the spliceosome (involved in pre-mRNA splicing). Its 5' end forms complementary base pairs with the 5' splice junction, thus defining the 5' donor site of an intron. There are significant differences in sequence and secondary structure between metazoan and yeast U1 snRNAs, the latter being much longer (568 nucleotides as compared to 164 nucleotides in human). The record is from RNAcentral. Lineage: Eukaryota; Viridiplantae; Streptophyta; Magnoliopsida; Solanales; Solanaceae.